GAUGAAGAACGUAGUGAAAUGCGAUACGUAAUGUGAAUUGCAGAAUUCAGUGAAUCAUCGAGUCUUUGAACGCACAUUGCGCCCCCUGGUAUUCCGGGGGCAUGCCUGUCCGAGCGUCAUUGCUGCCCUCAAGCACGGCUUGUGUGUUGGGCCUCCGUCCUCCUCCCGGGGGACGGGCCCGAAAGGCAGCGGCGGCACCGCGUCCGGUCCUCGAGCGUAUGGGGCUUCGUCACCCGCUCUUGUAGGCCCGGCCGGCGCUUGCCGACACAUCAAUCUUUUUUCCAGGUUGACCUCGGAUCAGGUAGGGAUACCCGCUGAACUUAAGCAUAUCAAUAAGCGGAGGA
Molecule: unclassified non-coding RNA, 344 nt
Filed under: soil metagenome
Description: partial contains 5.8S ribosomal RNA, internal transcribed spacer 2, and large subunit ribosomal RNA
Rfam family: 5.8S ribosomal RNA (bases 1-119)
Source: RNAcentral